AGAGAGGAGGAAGAGAAUGGACAAUUUACAACAAUAUGCACAGACAACAAGAAGAAGAAGAAGAAGAAGAAGAGCAAGAAGAUGAGGAGGAGGAAGAGAAUGGAAGAGAAGGAGCAGCACACACUAUUGACACUAGGAACUGAAGGAGAUGAGGAGGGACAGAGCGGUGAGUGUUAACUAAUUCUUCUCUUAUUCCUACAUUAAUUUCCUUUCUAUUGGUGUUUCUUUUCUUCUCUCCAUCCUGUUAGCUCCCACCAUGGAGGCUUAAUGUGUUGAAAUGGUUCCAGCGUAGCUAUCAGUAAACAACACCGUCACAAUGGAUAAGACACGGCCCGAAGCAUGACCUCUCACCCGGGUAACCACCAGGUUUUGACAGCACGAGAAUGACAGGUUGAUGUCAAGGCAGUGAAUGGCAUCAUGUCCACUCCACCAACUAUACCUCCACAGCACACACACCCUUGCCACCUUGUUUGCCGCAGGUAUGGCCUGAUUAGGGCUGGUGGCCUAGAGACAGAUAUUUCAUUAUUAAGGCAGAGGAGGGAAAGGGGGAGUAUACAUAGGAAUACAUAGGAAGAACAGACACCUGCUGGACUAUGGCGGGAGGAGGGAGUGAGAGCAGAAGGAAAAACAGGUCAUCUCCCAUAGCUCCCUUCUUUCCCUUCCUUCCCAUGGGUGGGGGAGUGGCACACUGAUAGGCUACUUUGUCAUUAUGUCAUAAGUAUUCAAGCUAUUUUUCUUUCUUUAGUAAUACAAUCAUCCCUCAAAUAGCACAGUUUCCAAUAGUUCGGAUUUGGUUUUAUGUGGAUUUUCUAAGAAGAUUUUUAAGGAGCAGGAAAUUUUAAAAUCCUAAAAGAUCUUCCACGACAAUCCAUAUAAAACUGAAACCAAACUAUUGGAAACUGUACUAUUUGAGGGACGACUGUAGUGAUUUUUUUUCCCCAGCCCUCACACCUUAUAUCAGUCCCAGAGCUGGCAGUUUUCUUUUGUAAUAGCCUACAUAGACAAGCUCAGGAGAGAGGGACUUGUACCAAACAGAUCAUACUCUAUGUCUUUUCAAAUGCCUGUGUUGUCUCAUUUAUGUAAAGCCUGUGUCAAUGAAAGAAUGGUAUGGCAUGAGUAUCACAGUGUUAGCCUACCAGCAUCAACACCCACGUGAUCUAAUAUGGAGCAGUGGGUAGAAGGCCUCACACAGCUGUUCAUCCUUCCUGUGUAGAUGGUUGAUGAACAGUUGUACCUGGGGAAGGUAAACUGAGGCAAUUCUGGCCUUCCUAUCGGCCCAUAUCCCAGUGUUCAAACCUAACACAGGCCCAGAGAUGAUGAGCGGAUUUACGUGCACU
This is a long non-coding RNA of Eriocheir sinensis (Chinese mitten crab), 1337 nucleotides long. RefSeq lists it as uncharacterized. The transcript is spliced from 3 exons. The record is from RefSeq and is a predicted model, not a curated record. NCBI's taxonomy places the organism in Eukaryota, Metazoa, Arthropoda, Malacostraca, Decapoda, Varunidae.